This is a long non-coding RNA of Canis lupus familiaris (dog), 3585 nucleotides long. RefSeq lists it as uncharacterized. The transcript has 2 exons. Lineage: Eukaryota; Metazoa; Chordata; Mammalia; Carnivora; Canidae. The record is from RefSeq and is a predicted model, not a curated record.
CGGGAGGAGGCGGUGCCUGCGGGAGCGAAGGGGGAGGGUCAGGGGCUGCAGGCUUCCUCCCGCUGCACUGUCCCUGGCCCGCCGCCUCCCUCUGCAGGUGCGGCGGCUGGUUCGUAUCGCCUACCCACUCACCCUCGCUCCCGUUUCUGCGUCUCUCGAUGUCUUUCUCUCCCCUUUCUCUGAGUUAUUUGUCCCCUCGUCUCUGUCCUCGCCACUCUGGGACUCUGGCCCAUUGUUCUCUGAAUCUGUCCCCCCCCUCCCCUGAGUCUUUGCCGCCUUCGAAGGCUCAGUCUCUCCUCUCCCCCAACUGUGUCUCCUUCCCCUCACCCCCAGUCUCUCCUGAUCUCUGUACCUUUUUUUCAGGAAUUUGCCUCUCUCUGGGUCUCUGUCCCUCCUCGUUGUGUCUCUGUCCUCCAUGCCCGAGCCCCCCGCCAGCCUGUCCCCUCUCUGGAUCUCUGUCCCUCCAGCCCUCUGUCCCUCUUCGUGCCUCUAUCCUCCACUCCCCUCUCCCAGUCUGUACCCUCCACCCCGUCCCUGCUCAUUCAUUUGCGUUUCUGUCCUCCUUGCUCUUGUUCACUGAUAACGUCCCUCCCGGUGUCUUCUUCCCCUCCUCUGUAAAGUGCCUUUUCUCCUUCUGAUCUUUCUCUUUCUCCGUCGCCUUAUGCGGGUCUCUAUCCCUGCUCCCCGUGUCUCUUUCACCCCCUCUGAGUCUUCAUCCCCACUUCCUUGGGACUUUGUCCCGCUGUCCUUUGGUUCCUGACCCCCCCCAUCACCCCCUUUAACCCCCAUCCUGGCCAGGACUCGAGGCUGCGUCACUGCGGAGAGAGUUGCAGAAGUGGGGCCUGUCCUGCAGACCAGGGAGGUAGUUUCCCUCACUCCCCAGACCCUGGGCUCCCCCACUGCCCGCAAUUCACUAUCCUUAAUCCAGUAUCCUUGGGCAGCCCUCAAGCCCCCAGUGGGACCCAGGAAGGCAGAGAAAAGACAUCGGAGCUUCUUACUCCUCUCUGCCCUGAAUUCUGGUGUAUCCCCAAGCAGAAGCAGUGAAUCUUGAGCAGCCAGGCACGGGAUCAAGUUACCAAAUCAGCAUUUUUUUGCAGAGGUCAGAAGGUGUGGGAGAAGGUGUGAGGGAGGGGAGGGGGCUGCCACAGGGGAGAAUAUGGGAUAAAACUCCAGAUUAGAGACCAUGUGAGCAAGGAGGAAGACCCCGGGCAAGGAAUAACAGAAUAGUCCAGACUCCAUCAGGCCCUGGGAAAACUGAAUGCCAUCCCUCCUUCAUGGCCCUCCCCAGACCCUACCAGGAUAUGUGGGGGUUUUGUGAGCCUUGAUUCUGUACCCAUGGGGUAGGCUUCUGGAGGCAUAAUGUGGGCUCCGGUUAUGGGGUACCCAGCCCUGCCAACAGGCUAGAGGGAAGUGGACUCAAUUUUUGGCGAUAGACACCAGUAGGGUGUAAGCCAAUGUCUGUCCUCGUCUUCAGACCUUUCCCACCCUUCCUCCUUCCCAAUCUAUCCUUUCUCUGGUCCUCCAGGAGCAAAAUUACUGAAAAUUCCAAACUCCUACAUCCGUCAUCCGCGGCGCCCUCUCCUAACCCUCCUCCCCCAUUCUCCAAGGCGCUGGAAUUGGGAAAGGGUCUUCCGCUUCGCGAUUUCUAGGACCCCAGCCUUGUGCGUCCGCUCCCAUUCCCAUCAGAUUCCCCAAAUCUAGGAAAGAGUCUCCCGAACACUAAAGCUGGAAAUAUGGAGACUCUCUACCUAGGAUCCAUGUUCCCCUAGACCCCUCUAAGAACCUUGGCCCCCAAAGCUCGUUAUUAAGAAAGAAUCUCUCCGCUGAGAUUUUUGAGUCCCCAUCUCCCGGGUCUCCCGCCUCCAAAACUGGGAUUUGGGCCGUCUUACCGCCCCCGGACCCUGUGCCUUCUCCCCCUCCCCCGUACUCACCCCAAGUCGAGGCGGGGCGGGGAUGGGGGGAAUCCGGGGCUGGCGUUGGGGGAGGGGUGACCCAGCCCCGGCAGCUCAGGGCAGCAAGAGGCUGUGGAGGGGGGGAAUGACAUCAUCGCCGGAGGAGGGACAGCACAGCUCCCCCCAACCCGGGGGCUUCAAGCCCCGCCUUUAUGGCGGACCCAGGGGUCUCCGAAUCCCAAAGGGAGAGAGAAAGGAGAUGAAGUCUGCGGGAAUCAUAUUCCAUCCCCUUAAAACAAGGGUUGAAAAGCCCUUUACGAUUUAGCCACCACCCCCCACUGCCACCUGUCGCUGCCGUCGCGACCUGUCGCCUCCCACGCAUGUUGUGGCUGCGCCCGCCCCCGGCAACAGGAGAACGCGGCCUGGAAUACAAGGUCCAUGAUGCUCCGCGAUACCGAGCUCCUUUUUCUAUGGGCGGCAUAGGCGAAGGGCUUCAUGGGAUUCGUAGUACAAGACCCUCGCACCGCUGUGAGCCCUGCCCUGGAGAAAAGGAGUGAUACCUUUCUCCUUCCUUCCUCAACUCCAGAUUGUUGAACACUAAUUUAUCUCUCCAAAAAUAGUGUAUUAAAAAAAAAAAAAGGAACCCAGGUAGGGUCAAUGUAAAUAACGGAUUUUUACUGAGUAGCUGGGCCUCGGCUACUACUCGGUGCGCAGGCGCCUAGCCUGGGCGCCAGCCGGAGAACUGCGCCUGCGCGGACCCACCCCCUUGUGGUCCGGCUCGUAGAGGGCUGGCGCGCGCCAAACCCACUCGGGCACCGCCUGUUAGGUUUCCGCGGUCGAAGACUGCAACGUGGGCCCCCAAGAAGACAUCGCCGAGAAUCCAGAGGGGCCCUGUGGGCGGAGGUAUGUCCAGGGCCUGGAAGCCAGACAAGCAGAGGCGGACACCACCCCGAGCAAUCUGCAAGGCGACAAGACAGGCCGCUCAGUGCGUGUCACGCGCACGGAACCUCCUCUUCCCUGGGAGCCAGAGCUUUGCCCUGCCCACUAUUCCGGGCACCAGAAGUGUUUCUGGGGCCUCUGCUCCGGCCUCGUGACGUCUCAUUCCCAGCUCCAUCCUCUCAAAUCCCAUCUUAUUGUAUCACUCUGACUUGUGACGGCCACCUACCUGGAUGACAUAGUCCUGGGCCGUGAGGUUAAACCAGACCCCCCCAAGGAGGAAGGAGAUUGGAGGGAGCGUUGGGAUUUCUGAGCACUGGAUGAGGUACUGAAGAAGAAGAGGAACAAGUGGAAUUAGGUACUCAGGGCCUUGUAUGGUCAAGCUCUGCUGCCUUCUCUGGCCUUACUGGCUCUUCUGCCCUCAUGUAAUUAUUGCUACUUCCUUUAGGCGCCCUUUUGAUCAAACCUUUUACUCCAUCCACCUGUAGAUCAAAAACUGCUAGCCCAAUGAGGCGCAUUGAGCCCAUGGUGUAUCUAAGUUGUCUUACACUGUGUCAAAAAUGUGUUGAAAAUUAUUUACCAACUGUACACCACGGUGGUACAGACUCCAAGUGAUAUCCUUGGAGUCUGCUGCUGUGCAACCUUAGACGAAUUGCUGAACCUCUCUGUGCCCCGUUUCCAAUUUGUAGGUGUAGUUGAUGGUAAUACUUCACAGAGGUGUUGUGUAAGAAAUAAAUGAGUUUGGAAAACUGCCCGA